Molecule: ribosomal RNA, 253 nt
Filed under: uncultured bacterium
Lineage: Bacteria
Description: partial 16S ribosomal RNA
Rfam family: Bacterial small subunit ribosomal RNA
Source: RNAcentral
UACGUAGGGGGCAAGCGUUGUCCGGAUUUAUUGGGCGUAAAGAGCGUGUAGGCGGCCAAGCAGGUCAGCUGUGAAAACUCGAGGCUCAACCUCGAGACGUCGGUUGAAACCGCUUGGCUAGAGUCCGGAAGAGGAGAGUGGAAUUCCCGGUGUAGCGGUGAAAUGCGUAGAUAUCAGGAGGAACACCUGUGGCGAAAGCGGCGCACUGGACCACAACUGACGCUGAGGCGCGAAAGCUAGGGGAGCAAACAGG